This 450-nucleotide ribosomal RNA is filed under the name Pseudomonas citronellolis. Its description in RNAcentral is "bacterial SSU rRNA". It matches the Rfam family "Bacterial small subunit ribosomal RNA", at positions 38 to 486 of the family's 1533-position model. Lineage: Bacteria; Pseudomonadati; Pseudomonadota; Gammaproteobacteria; Pseudomonadales; Pseudomonadaceae. The record is from RNAcentral.
UAGGUCUGCACGGUCUACACAUGCAAGUCGAGCGGAUGAAGGGAGCUUGCUCUCUGAUUCAGCGGCGGACGGGUGAGUAAUGCCUAGGAAUCUGCCUGGUAGUGGGGGACAACGUUCCGAAAGGAGCGCUAAUACCGCAUACGUCCUACGGGAGAAAGUGGGGGAUCUUCGGACCUCACGCUAUCAGAUGAGCCUAGGUCGGAUUAGCUAGUAGGUGGGGUAAUGGCUCACCUAGGCGACGAUCCGUAACUGGUCUGAGAGGAUGAUCAGUCACACUGGAACUGAGACACGGUCCAGACUCCUACGGGAGGCAGCAGUGGGGAAUAUUGGACAAUGGGCGAAAGCCUGAUCCAGCCAUGCCGCGUGUGUGAAGAAGGUCUUCGGAUUGUAAAGCACUUUAAGUUGGGAGGAAGGGCAGUAAGGUAAUACCUGGCUGUUUUGACGUCUCAU